CUUCAAGGGACCCACAGGGAUGUUGCUCAAGCAGCUCCUAUUGGCUGCAGCGCGCUCCAAGGAUGAGGCCGCGCAACAUUGCUGUUUCUCCUAACAGCUUCUUAAGCUUUAUAUGGAUCUCUGUUGUCGAAGACUUUCAUAAUCAGAAUCACUGGAUUGCUAUGAGUUUUCCGGGAUAUAUGGCCAUGUUCCAGAAGCAUUCUCUCCUGACGUUUCGACCAUAUGGCAGGCAUCCUCAGAGGUUCUGAGAUCUGUUGGAAACUAGACAAGGGAGGUUUAUAUAUUUGUGGAAGGUCCAGCGUGGGAGAAAGAACUCUGUUUGAGGAAAAUGGGAAUGUUGCAAUUGAUCAUCUUGAUUAGCAUUUAAUGGCCUUACAGAUUGAAAGCCGGAGGGAACCUUUUGUUUGGAGGUGUUAGCUUUUUUUUUCAUGUCAGGAGCAGGGCCAUCUGCAAGGACGUUACCCAGGGGACGCCUGGAUGUCUUUACCAUCCCUGUGGGAGGCUUCUCUCAUGUCCGCUUCUCUCAUGGCGCUGGAGCUGAUAGAGGGAGCUCAUCCGCGCUCUUCCCAGGUGGGAUUCGAACCUGGCAGCCUUCAGGUCAGCAAACCAACCUUCAAGUCACAAGGCCUUUAUCCCCUAGGCCAUCAGGGGCUCCUGGAGGUGUUAGCUGAUCCUGAUUGUUUCAUUCCUGGAAUUCCCGUUUUCAUGGCGUUGGUCUUUAUUUACUGUCCUGAUUUUAGAGUGUUUUAAUACUAGUAGCCACAUUGUGUAUUUCCAUGGUUUCCUCCCUUCUUUUCUGUUGAAAUGCUUGUGAACCAUUUGAUGAACCAACCUGGACACAGUGUAUUAUUUGAGAAGACAGAAAUGCUGGACCACUCUUAACAACGACCAUGUUGGACUACACAGAGAAGCCACUGAAAUCCACAAGCAAGUCUCCUGCAUGUAGAAAGGGUCAUUUUUAACACUGAUGCAAUUAGCAUAUGGGAUUAACAGCAAAAUGUUGCUGCAGCACCACCCGUUCUCCCUGAUCUUCCCCAUCCCAUGCCUUUAUGGGACUGUCUUUACAAUAUUACAAUUCUAAAAACUGCAGCUCCUAGAGAGUUGCAUAAAAGCUCAAUAGAUUAGUAUUACAUAGACAGAAAAUGAAAUAAUUUGCUGAAUAACACUCUGGCAUGCAGGUAAAUUAACCUUUACCUCUAUUUCUCCAAUUAACGUGUUUGUCCCUCACCACUAACUUACAGUUUUUCUAUGAAGUCUCUUUAGACUUCCUUGUUCUUUUAUUGAUUCUCCUUCAAGGAAGUCUUACUGACAUUUUAACAUAAUGGUCAGUAUCUAACCAUGACAUUUUUCUAAUGCAAAUACCACAUUCCUAUGGGAAACCUAGCUGAAGACUAAGAGUGGACUGUGGCCAAAAAAUGUUUAAAGACUACAUGUACUGCAACACAUUUAAAAAGGUGAUAAUGGACAGCUGGAAGCUUCUACGAGAACAGUUUCUUUUGUUAGUAAGGGCUUCUUUGGGGCUCAGAAUCUCAUAAUUUCCAUUUGUUCUAGACCAGGGGUACCCAAACUAAGGCCUGUGGGCCAAAUGCCUUCCUCCAAGCUUAUUUACUCACCCUAAACUUUAGACUUAGAGUUGCCCGAAGUCUGAAACAACUUGAAGGCACACAGCAACAAUCCUAAUUAACCUGUCUAUCUCAUCAGCCAAAAGAAGGCCCACACUUCCCAUUGAAAUACUGUCCUGGCCCUCAGCAGUCUACGGAACCGUGAACCUGCCCUCAGCUUAAAAAGUUUGAGGACCAUUGUUCUAUACCAUGGGUAAACAGGACUCCAACAAAAUGCACAUUCAGCAUUGGGAUAUUUCUUUCUAAACCAUUUAUGCACAGGAAUUCUCUUACUGGCACAGAAAUUGUGGUUCCUACAAACAGGUAAAAAGGUUUGUAUUGCACUAUGGUUACACAGCUGGAAAAUCCGGAAGAAUUCUGCCAUUGUAUUGAGGCAUAGUUCACAUGUUUCGAAUGAUCUCUGUUGCCAUCCCUAUUUCAAUCUUUUCACCUCUUACAAACUUUUUAAAGUUUUAAACUUGAGAAAUCAAAGUGCAUCCCCCAAGGGUAAUAAAAUAUAAACAUUGAUUGCCCUCAAGUGCUUUCUGGGGGUUGUGUGGGCACAUUGGCACUACUUGCCCCCUCCCUCCGGUACAAUUUAGACUCAGGAGGACCCUUUUAAAACCAGUUCCAUUCUUCUGCAAGACUAGACUGGUCCAAGAGCCCCAAAACAUGCUAAAAUGCCCUCACAUUUCCUAGAGAACGUUUCCUAGAGACAUUUGGAGAGCAACAUUCUUUUUCUCCCUCUUUUCUUACAGAUAGGACACUUUAAAGACAUUCUAACAAGUUACUUUAUAGCAGUUCCCAGCCUUGUAGUUAUCAUGCUAUUUCAAACUUGUAUAGCACAGUACCAGCUGACUUUGAGUUUAAUCACUAAUUUGAACUUGAGAAAUUACUACAAUAAUAUCUCAUGAGAAAACUAUGAAGAAAUAGCCAUGAAGUUAAAAUAAGUGACAUAUAUAGGACAGACAACACAUUUACUACUGCACUUAAAAAGACUUGGCAACAGUUCAAUAGCACAUCAAAUUCAACUACUAAAAAUAUUUUUCACAAUUACAUGAAAGGUUUUUUCACACUUAAUUCAAAGUUAAAUGACAAAAUACACCGUAUCAAAAUCCUAAAUUUUGUAGGUAGUCUUGAUGACAAAUAUUUAAUAUGGGAAUAUAGAAAAAUAGAAAACCAAAGAAGUAACCAGAUCAGCUCUGAUGUAAAUCAAAUACUUUUUUAAACAUUCACAGUCUUUUAAUAGCAUUCACAGGUGCAAUGAACAAUUAAAAUACAUAUGUUUAUUCUGCAGAAUAAAAUUGAUAUAAAGAAAUAUGCUGUCACCACCUUGGACAGUUCUCUGAUAUCAAUACUCCCAAGCAUGUAGUCAUAAAAAACAGCAGAAUCCAAAAGGCAUGAGGUGACAAAAUUGCUUAGAGAUCUUGCAGAGUUAUGAACUCACACCAGCAUUUUAGGGUCAUGUGCUAUGAUCUGACAUUGAUGUUUCUAACAUCAUAUCACUUUCAUUCAUUUCAAUCUCAAAAGUUUCAUCCAACGGAUGAGGUGCUUCUGUAGAUUUCCUCUGAUGUGAUGAUUCCAGGGCCAUGACGUUACUUUCUUCCAGAGUUUGCCUUUCUAUAUCUAACUCCAAGACAUCCCAUGCAGGUGAAAUUAUGUUCUUUAAAGUCUUCAUAGUAUGCACAUCAAAGUCAUAGCAGCGUAAUUUAUCCUUAAUGGCGGUUCCUAAAAGAAACUUUCUAGAUUAAUUUUCCAAUGAAAUGAGUAAUUUCUGCCACAGAAUGGUUCUCUAAGAACAACUGCAAGAACAACUUUCUGUCCAGUCCUCUGGAUAUUUAGAGACAAUGACCGCAAUUUCCUAUAGCAAUCUAUGUAGUUUAACUUUACUUAUACUUAGUAAUGUAGCAGAUCUGCUAAGAAAAUCUGUUAGGGAAUUGUGGAGAUGUAUAAUAUAUUGGGACAUCAACAAGAGUCCUUGAUGCACAUUAAUGCUCAAUGGACCUUGAUCAUCAGCCCAAUUACACAUUGGCCUCAAUGCAUAUUGGCCCAGGUGUACAUCGGUCUCUGCUGGCUUCCCAGAGUAACGUUACAGCAGUCCUUUAAUGAAUACAGAUAUUGAGAAAUUGCUCAAUUCUAUUUCCCAUAGAUGUUAAGUCCACUUAUGUAGAUGUAAGUUCCCAAAUGAAUCCCAGCUAGUAUUUAUUGUCUAGUUCACUGCUUUUUAAACUGUGGGUCCCGAUCUCAAAUGGGUCCUCCUCAGCUCAAUGUUGCGAUUGCAAAAGAUUUGGCAACAGUGAAAGGUUUCUGAAUGCCACCCAUUUAUACAACUCUGUUAGUGUUUACAACAGUGGACUCUGCAGAAAUGCUUCGGAGCUGUACUUCAUAAAAAAGAAAAUCAUCCUGUCUUGCAAAUGCUGGUUUAUUAUCAGCAUAUGUUUGAUUUUCAUAACUAUUUUACAUACCUAUAUACCUUGGGUCAUGCAAAAAAAUUAUCAGGCGGAAAGGGGACGUGAGUAGAAAACGUUCAAAAAGCCCUGGUCUAGUUCACUACUAUAAGCCAGUAGUGAACCCCAUACUGCAAAACUGCUUUACUUCUAAAGUACAGUAUUACAUUGUUCAACAGUCUGCAGCUCUAACAUCACCUCUAAGCACCAUCUCUUCUGAGCAAUAAAGAUAAUGUAAUACUC
This is a long non-coding RNA of Anolis carolinensis (green anole), 4291 nucleotides long. RefSeq lists it as uncharacterized. Lineage: Eukaryota; Metazoa; Chordata; Lepidosauria; Squamata; Anolidae. The transcript is spliced from 2 exons. The record is from RefSeq and is a predicted model, not a curated record.